UUUUUGGGGUUUUUUUUUGUUUUUUGUUUUUUUUUUUUUUUGUUUUGGUUUGGUUUGGUUUGGUUUUUUUUGUGACUUUGAAGGGAUUUCAGUUCGUGUGAUUACAGUAAGAUGAUGUUUUAUCUGAUCUGGUCUGUGAGGGCAGUAAAUGUUACUGAAAUAACUGUGAGCCCUUUAGUCCACCUGUGAGCAGCCGGAGGAGCUUCUGUGGCCAAGGCUGCUACUUUGAUGUGACUGCACAGGAGUUCCAAAACUUGAGAGUGCAGAGAGAACCUCUCUGGAUAACUGCAUUACUACUCAGCAAGUAGGACAAGUAAAAGACUGCAGAGGUUUUUUUUUUUUUGUGUGUGUUGGUUUUUUUGGGGGUUUUUUUUGGUGUUGGUUUGAUUUUUGUUUUUAAUGAUAACUUUUUGAGCUGCUGGGUUAGGUAGGCUGCUGUAGAGAGUCUAAUAGAUUUACAGGAAUCUUCAGAAUGAGUUGGAGAUUAAAUUCCUCCAGCUUCAUACCCUCUAAGUCUAGUUCUGGAGGUGCUGAAUGCAGGAAAGAGUAUAAAGAACCUGGAGUUGAUACAGAAAGGGCAAACUGUUCUGUGCAGGGCUAGUUCUCAUGUCCCUGUGCCUAGGAUGGCAGGCUGAGUGAGAAUUUUACUGAUGGAGGUGUUUUACGUGAACACAAAUCAGUUGAAGAACCACUAGCAAUGCUCUCUGAUGUAGGAACAGCCACAAAAGUCAUAGUUAAAGCUGGUUGAAGUACAUUUAGAAUGUUUUUCCUGCAAUUUUUUUUUCUGGGGUGAUUUUUGUGGAGGUUUUAUUUUGGGGGUUUUUUUUUUGGUUUUGUUUUGUUUUGUUUUGUUUUUUCCAUUGUGCUGCUUUAACUGUAAACAUAAAACACAUUUUAGCCCAUGAAUCAUUAUCUGAUUUUUCCCUGUUGUCAUCCUGUGAAAUGCUGAGAUACUUUGGCUGCAUGAUUGGUCACCUGAAUUACAAGGUAUUGGUGUUAUUUUUGUAUCUGACAGCUUAAAUGUAAUGAGUUGUAUAUUCUAGAAGCCUUGAAGGUCUACUGGAUCUGCCAGAAUAAUUUGAUGUAUGUUUUUUCACUGGUUUCUUUGUUAAGAAUUUUUGGCCGGAAACACAGUAUUCUAUAGCAUUUGUCCCAAAAAGGAAGGUAGAAUUUUCCUUUUUCUUACAAAAAGAAUUUACCUCACUGUGGAAUACCAUUCUGUUUUUUCAUCUGCCAACUGGAGUAGUGGACCUCAAAUUUGUUUACUGUAAGCACUUGGGUGAAGGAAACUUUCCUCACACAAAAAACAAGAUCAGUUAACAUGUUUAAAUUCUAUUUGUAAACCACGGUUGUUUUUUUCGGUGAUAAUUCAAGUGCUCUGUUUAAAUUAUGGUUCUUCAAUUCUGUGCACAAGUCUUGAAUGUGACUGUGGCAAUGAGAUGGUGAGAGACCUUCUGAUUUUUGUUUUUGUUCGGGUUUUUUAAAUUUUUUUUUUUGUUUGUUUUGGCUCAUGACUUGAUACAGUGCAUCACUGUUCCAAGAUCAGGAGCUAAGGUACAAUUAUCUGUGGGCUUCUGGUGUCUGAGGAGGCACCACUACCUCAGAACAGUGCUAGGAUCCAGCAGGUUUUGCAGGAGUAUCAGGAAGUAUUGUCAUGGGAAGGACAGCGUGUGUGACAGCAGAGGAAUUAAAGUAACUCGUGUGAAACUGGCGAUUGCCCAAAUGAUCUAAUUCCAUUGAACUGGGAACUUGUGACACAAUUCUUAGUGGCGAAGGGGAUAAACGGAAUGGAUGGCCACUGUGCAACCGCAGAUCAAUAAUCGUCCUUAAAAAGUAAGUACGGCCUCCGAGCACGUUUGACAAGAACUGGAAGUGAUUCUUUGGCAGCGGCCUGUUUGCUGAGCCCAGUGAGAGCUGUCGGAGCUCCCCAGGGCUGGAUGCAGGCGGGGCGCUGCGCUGUCUCCACCGGGUGCAGUCAGCAACUCGGGUCAUUGGCAGCGUCCAGCACAAAACACCUCCCGCCCAGCUGCGCAGGGACUCUUGUCUCUUCUCGGGACACUACUAGGAAGCUCUCCACCUUUCAAAGCAACACGGUAAAGAAUGACCAGGCAAUACUCUUUGAAAAUUGGAGACCAUUUGCAGCUGCUCUCUGCUGAGGAAAGUGAAUAAUAGGGUGCCCUCAAGGAAUUUCAAAGGCUUAUCUAACACAUGCCUGUAUUUGGAAAACAAGGACUUCUGUGGUCAGAAUAGAACUGGACUGUUUUUCAGAGAGACUGGCAGGAUGAGACGACAGUUUUUUCUGAUGGCCCUGUUAAUACUUUUCACUAACAAGGAAAGGGGAAGGGAAUAAUUCUCUGCAAUAAUAUUGACUUCUUAUGUGAUCUUGGUGGUGUAGGAGGCUGUGGAACUGGGACUGUGAUCAGCUCAUCACACAUCCCUACCACUCCUUCCUCCACAGAGGGAGGGCUCCUCACAUCUCUCCCUGGCUCUGGUGCAGAAUCUGUCCCACUGGACACAGUUCUCCAUGAAUUUCUGCAAGGACCACCAAGUGAUUGGAAGCAGGAGCUGCUCAGACAUGAUGGAGACAACAGAGCUGAACCUCUCCUAGAAAAUCAUAGGCCACAGUGAGCUGCGAAGCCUUCAAGGACAGGAAAUGUUCCAGAUUGUUGUUUUCCAGUAUUUGUUCAGCAGAAGGUGACAAGGAGUUUCUAUAAAAGCAUAUUAAACAUCACUGUUUCCACACUGUGGACUGGAGUUUCAAAAGCUGCAAUGAAACCUGCGUAGCUCCUCUGGAGAAUCUAAACAAUCAAUGUGCAUGAAGCUAAUCUCACUGUCUGUUUCCUCCAAACUGAAGAUGCCUUCAAGAAAAGGAAUACUUCUAUGAAUGAGGCUGUUUACAUACUUUUAAUGAUAUGUUUGCUUUAAUUUAGUUGUAGGUUCAUGCUUCUGUAGGAUCUAUCUGAAUCUUAUCCCCCAGCCAUAUGUGUAAUUCAGGCUUCCUGUUUUAAGGUCAUUCCUAAUACAGAAAAUUGUCAUUAUAUUGGAUAUAAAUGCAAGAAGGGAUUUUAAAAUGUUCAUGAGCUUAGUAUAGUUCUCUUAUUUCAGAAGUCGGCUUCUGUAUACUUCCUAUGUGGGAUCUCUGGAUAAAAAUUGUUAAUAUUCUUUUGUUAAUAUAAGAAUAGCCUGAGUCAAAUACAUUAUGUCAACCAUUCCUUCUCUUUUCUCAUGGAUUUUCUUUGUUCAUCUGAAAAAUAGAUUUAUUUUAGCUUUUUAAUUUAUAGUUCCUAUAGCAUGUGCCUGUUAAAGUCCCAUAUAUGAAACUAAUAAAGAAACUUCACUCUGUCUUUUAGCUCAUCAAAACUCAAUCAACUGCAAAUAGAAGCAGUAUUUCUGUGGGAACAUUCUGAGAUUUCCUUUUUUAACUAUAAUCUCUGCAGCCUUUGGUACCACCCUGUCAGUUCCAUGAUCGGGCUACUCGGGACGUGAAUCAGUCGGGUGCUAAGUGUCCGUCACUGUUGUCCCGUCAGACGUGGCUGUGUUUACAGGGCUGAUCACACUCCAGACCCUCUGCAUUCUUGAUAUGUGGGAGCAUGCUGGGGUCUAGAUGUAAGCUGAGCUUCAGAGCAGUGUGAGCUUGGGAAAUGGGACAGACGUGGGGGUUCAGCAGGUCGUAUCACAUUGCACAGACAGCCUGAGGACCACGUACAUCACCUGGAAAAUGUCAGUGAUCAGUCUGGGGUUACCUACCAUGCUACAGCUGUAAUUUAAGGCCACUUGCUCUGGUGGAGUUCUGCUUGUCUCCAUUUGUGCCAUCUACUCUAAAACAGUUUGUCCUUUUAACUCUUCAUGUUCUGUCUUCUAUUUUCAUAGUCCUAAAUUAUAUGUUAUCUGAGGCUGGUGUUUUCCCGUUCCUUUAUUUCUAAAGCACACAGCAACAUUCUCCCUGUUGUAGCCUGCCAAGUACUGCUGGAUUAGAAAGAGCAAGCAGCAGAAAGAAGAAUGGACAGUUAUUGACGCUGUGCUUAUAGGGCCACUGGCAGACUUGCUUCCUGCCACUUGGGUACUGGAAUUGGAUUUUAAAAUCAAACAUUAUUUUCUGUAAGGAAGCAUUUAUUUUCAGAGUCCUUGGCACACAGUGGCCUGAAUACUGCAAUCAUAAUUCUGGCAAAACUCCCAAAAGACAUCUAAGUUACUUUUUCCUUGAUUCAGGUCUGCAGGACUGUGCUUUUCAGUACAAACAUGUCAUACGUACGUGGCCUGAUUCCCAGAAGCUCUGAGCAGACCCAUUGUAUGUUGCCAACAAAGGGAGUGGAGAGAACAAGACAGCUUGAAAUGUAGUUAAUGAAAUUAUUCAUGUUGCUUUCAUAAUUACAUUUAUAACUGCAUCAUCAUAAUGUGAUGUGUUGAUUAGUAUCCGGAGCCGUUCCUAUAAUUAAACCGAGCGUAGGGAAUUAGCAGAGUUAGAGAAACACCAUGGUGCUGUUUCUAGCACAAUUCUGUUCACAGCUGUUUGAUGGAUUGAGAGGUGACCACAGUGUGAGAACUGAUGGAGAGGCAGUGGCUCCCUUCCUUUGCAUGCUGGUGUCAUCCUGUGUCUGCAAAGGGAAUUUUCAGCUGCAGCAUCAGUGUGGUGGGUGUUUGGGACUGGCCCUUGGUGAUGAGCAUUACCUGGGUGCUUGAUCUUGGCAGGCAGAAAGCACCCAUAAAUCUGCUCCUUUUUGCCAUAGAUGUCCGCAAAGUUUGCCAUGAGCUGCUGCCAAAGAUCUGUAUUCAGCAGCACACUGCAUCUGGAGUGCACUCCCAACACUCGGUCUAUCAAAAUACUAAACGUGAGCAAAAACCCCACAUCACUCACAAGGGGAAACUUGUGCAUUGUCUCUGGUCUAGACUUCAACUGUCUGACCAUAAGCAAAUGCACUACAUUCUCUUUUGCCACAUGCCAAGUUACAGUUGUGUUUGGGAAUGUUAGCAGGGCUAUAUGGCAUGUGUAAAGGAAUUUGAAUGGGGAGCUUAAAUAGUUGCAGUCAUUAUAGAGUAUUGACAAAUAUUGGGUGUGAACAAUAUUUAUGUUCAGUGAAGUUCCAUGACAAAGACACCAGUCACACAAGCCUCUGCUAGUCCAGCCAAAAAAAACCCAGUUUCUGCUAGGGAAAAGAAGUGGCAAUAUCUCUUUAGGCUGGAGAUUAGAAGAGGAGAUCCAGUUUUGGAGAUUUUCAUGUUUGUAUAUUCUAAGACUAUUGACUCAGUAACCUAUCCACUAAUGGAUAGUACCAGAUAAUCCAUAGCCAUAAGAUCCAAUGGCAUGUUUAGCAAACAAAAACAAGGAAAAAGACACAAUCCAAUGGCUUAGAUUUACUUUGUAAUGCUUUCCAUUUUGCCAGAUUGUUUGUAAUCUCCUUUCAGAUACGUUGUAAGGUGAUUGCAGUGUACAAAAUGUUCAUAUGGGGUUGGAGAGAGUUCAAGGAAUUGUGGCAAAUUAAUCAAGUGUCUAAUCUGCAUUUUAUGUGGGUGCUUGAAAAUAGUUUACAAAUAUAAUGUCUGUGUUGUAAUAAUCCUCAUUGGUUUUGAUAAAAAGAUGUGUUUGAAGGCACUUUGUAUAUGCAUGUUACUUGUUUCCUGGCUGUAUUCUGAACCACAUUGAGAUAGCAAUGUCAAAGUGUUGACAACUCCCUGAUAUAGGUUCUACUUUUUACACUUGUGGAUAUUUAAACUCAUGGCUGUUUCAAUUUUCUGAUGUUCAUGGUAAAUUUGCAUUCCUUUUCUGGAAUAGUCCUUCACAUUCUCAUUUGGAAAAUGUCUGCUAUGUAAUAUUUAUAACACAAGCAGAGACACUUGUGCUAGUCUGUCAGCUUUAUUACACUGACUUGACCCUCUCAUUGCUAGAUGUCAGUGUAAAAGUAUACUUACUAUUACACUUUAUUGCACCAACAAAGACAAAGGUAAUAAAUUAAUAUUUUUGACUGAGUUGUCUCUACAUUUAUAGGAAGAUCUACUCUACAGUCUGUAUACAUCACUUCAAAAAUGCAUCUGUAUUAAUCUGUGGUAAUGGCACAGAAUAAAAUUUAUUCUACAAUUUUGAGAAAUUAUAGUUUAAUUAAAUUGAUCUACUGAGUGCUUGAAGGUAGCUUGUAUGAAAUUUAUAUAUAGAGUACACUGUAAGAUUCAGUUGUUAUCAUUAAAAGGAUAUUAUUGCAUAAGAUAAAUGUGAUCUACUUAUUUCUUUGAUUUCUUCUGGUAUAAUUUUUCUUUCAAAAAUGAAAUCUGUUAUUUUGAGGGAAUCUUUCCUACUGUUUAGCAGAUUAAUGAUCAUUCAUGACAUUAUCGGUUCUUCAUGCAUUAUAUAACUUUUGUGUGGAUUCUAUACUAAUAUUGUACAUCACUGGUGACUGACAGUUAUAGCUCAGCCACCUAAUUUUUUGCAGCCUGAUUCCAGAUAUCUUACCUGACAGCAGUCUAAUUUUUAAGUGCUCAUUUUUCAUCUAAAUUACUUUUUCCCCAUACAGAUCUUUGCAAAAGACUACCAACAACACAAUCCCUGCUACUUACAGGAUAUCAUCUCCUCAUAUUUUAACUUUUUUUUUUCCUGGACUACUUGUAACAUAGUCAGUUUAUCACAUUUAGCUGGGAUGAUUUCAAAGAGGAUUGUACAUACCAUAUUAAAAAUAUUUCUUUUUUAUUUGGAUGUUCUUUUGACUGGGUUAGGAUGCGGGUUUUUUGGUUGUUUUUUUUUUUUUCUUGGGGGAUGGUGGGGAAACUGGAUCAGAAAUUUGUUAAAGGUUUUAUUUUAAAGUUAUGAUAAAAGUUUUUAGGUGAGUUUCCUAUAGACUUAUAAAAACCAAAUUGUGUUUAGUACUAAAAAAAGAACGUAGUGUUCUGGUAGGCAACAAACUGUUGUGAGGAAAUUAAAUAUUGUUGAACUUUUAUGAGAGACCUCCAGAGUGAAAGAAGUCUUGCAUAGUUUGUUUCCACUGUCUGUAGAACUUACUUCCAGUGCAUAAAAUGCUAGAUCUGUAGUGGCCCUGCUCACUGUAGCAAACGGAAAGUUUAGUUCAAAGCCUCCCUGGACAAUUUUCAGUCUUUCCUGUUUUUGCUGAGGUUGAAGACAGCGAGUCCCAUGUGGGUCCAUGGUCCAACAGGGUGGGCUGUGCCUGUCUUCUCAAUCAUACUGGCAAAUAACAUUCAUUUGAAAUAAUCAUAUACAAAUUCCAAGUGACUAAUGAUAAGAAAGCAUUACAAAAAUCAGGAGGUUAAAUCAAUUUGAUUUUUUUUUUCAAAUUGGAAUCAUAAAAAACAUUAUAAUCAUGGGAUUUUUAUGGAGUGUCACGAUAAUUAUAAUUCUUCUUCUCUGUGGUUUUAUCUCUGGAUAUCCACAUUUCCUCCAGUCAUACCUUUUUUUUGCUUCUAACAUCCACUCAUCAUGCACUUCAUUAACAUGUUGAAUCUCUGCCUGUUUUUAAAAUCCCUUUACUUCAUGUGUUAAUCUGUGUAUUCUUUCCUAUGCUUUCUGGAUUGUUUUUCCUUCUCUUGUCCUAAAACAGUCCCUUUUGUGCUGUGCCUUAAGUCUUACUUCUGCUUUGUUACAGUAUUCCACCUUCAGUAUUCAGUUCAGCUUUUUUUUCCCUUUGUCAUUGUUCCGCAUCUGUAAAAGUUGGCAGGUAUUCCAGAAUUCAUUGCUAGUAAAUUCUUAGAUAUCUUUCUCUAAUUUAAGUCAUAGGAUCAGCCAGUUUUUACUGCUUGUGUCUUGUUUUCCUGUGUGGCUGUUGCUCAUAAGUGGUUCUGAGUUUUUUUCUCAUAUCUUGCUUUCAAAUCUGCAGGGAUUAUUUCUUUUUCCUGAUUCUGCUUGAGAUAGACAGUGUACUUUAUAGUAGCAAAUAAGAAAGAAAAAGGGGGAAAGAAAAGGUGUUUACAGUCUUUUCCUGUUAUCAGAGGUAAAUGGAACCGAAUCUUAAAUCUUAAGGCUUUGCUGUCCAGCCUACAGUGUUUUGUAUUCUCUUAGCAUGUAUACAUUUGGAUGUUUUCUUCAUGUCUAGGAAGGUCUUAAAAAUACAGUUUCUGUAAUCUUCCCAGUCCCAUGUAGCUGAGAGCUGUAUUCCUAAGCUUUCUUCAUGACUACUAGUGCAGAAUUUAAAUUUGGAUACUGUAACUGUAGCAGUAUUUUGUGGCUUUGCCAUUAGCUUCUCCUUUUUAUAGAUGUGAAUCCUAAAUGCUAUGUGUCUCCCUAACUGUGUGAUGCAAAAGGGUAUGAUUUGCCAUUAUAGUUCCCGUCUUAAAUCCAUUCAGCUUCUGAGUCUUUGUGAACAGCUUCAUGGACGUAAAGAUUGGGAUUAUGAGUCAUAAAAAUGCCAUUUUAUUUUCUGUAUAUAUAUUGUGGUCAAGGAAGAACCAAAGUAAUGUUUAUAAAAGAACACCCUGGGAAAAGUUAUAUUGAUUUUAUCUAGCCUACCCAUGCUUUUUCAUUUUUAAUCUUAGUACUUUCUCUGCAAGACAUGAAUUUUUCCUCUUUUAGUGUUUUCAGUAGCUUAAAUUUACUCACCUUUGGUCACAUCAAUGAUGGUUGCCACAACAGCUCUCUUAGGUUCCUGGAGCUCUAUGAAGAUACUCACUGUCAUACUUAUAAAGGGGUAGAAUAGAAAAAUCAAUUUUACUUAGACGGCAAUUGGAAAAAAAUACAUUUUUGUCCUGCAUUCUACUUUCAGGAUGUUUUAUUCAGCCUGCUUUUCUAGAAUUAGUGUUGUCUGAGUUCUGAGUUUUGUGAUUUUCUUUAGAAUUCACUUCAUGCUUGCAAUAUUAAUAAUUUCUUUCUCUCAAGGUUUUUUUUUUUAAUUUUAAUAUUUUCUGAAAAAAAGAACUAAAAGCAGUAUUGGGUAUGUGCCAUGGCAGUAAAUGUUUCCUGAGGCAUGGAUGUAUUUAUUUAAAAGGUUACUUACAAAUUUCAUUUAAACUUCUACAGGAUGAAGCUGUACACUCAGUCAUGAGGAUUCUGAAUUUUCAUGGCUUCGGGUUCUAGGAUUGUUUGAGACUAAAGUGUGAAAUGGAGUAAAUCCAUUCCCAAUUAUUAAAUCAGCCACGUCUUGCCUUAUAUUCAGGAAAAGUAAAAUACAGUAGUGCAAAGGUGGAUAAAGCACAAAAGCACAUGAAGUUAGUCCAUCCGUUUCUCCAACUGACAGCAGUGAGGCUUCAAGAGGACUGCUGCAGCUGAGAUAAGAAACUCUUCCUUGUCUCCCCUAUAACCUACUUCCUUUGCCUAUGUGCAAUGUAUGAGUGAGAAAAGUAAGAAGGGAGAAGAAAGAUUUUUCUAAAUGUCAGCUGCCAGGAAAGGCAUUGAAACUUGGGUCAGCUCUGUGUUUUUGAGAAAAGGAAUUUUACUGUACAUAAUGUGAGUAUAUAUUUAUAUAACUAUAUUAAAAAGUUAGAUACUAGCAAUUAUCGAUGAGCACAUAUAAACCUGUGAGUUUUCAACAUCAGAUCAGUCGUGACUGAAACUAUCUUUUUGCUUUUUCUGUGAAUAUAAAAAACAUGGAAAAUGGAAAAGAUUAUGUAUUCAGAAUACAUUGAAUUCAAAGUUAUUUUGAUUUCUGGCCACAAUUUCUCUAAAUUUUUUUUUGCCUAGUGUUCAAGGAUGCCCGAGUAUCUAAUGAAAGCACAAACAUCUUCUAAGUUGUUGAUUUGAGUAUGAAACCUGUUUUUUUUGUGCUAACACAUGGAUGGAUGUUCUUCAAUUACCUUUCUUAUGUUAAGGAGUUGCUACUCUUAAACACUGGGAUUCUCCUUGUAGCAACUCUCCACUUUCAAGUUUUAGCUAGUGGAUCCUUAAAAAAAAUGUGCACAUAGUGCUGUGCACGAGAAAAAGGAGUGUUAUGGUUUCAGCUGAAUGUGCUCUGUAAAACCACUUUGCCCCACCAUUCAUACAUAGUCUGAUCCACCAGAAUACUCCACUUAGGAACAUUUAGUCAUAGGAUUGACCCUGUAAUCUCUAAUUAGUAGAAAGUGAUUUUUGCACAAAAUAUUUUUUACAACCUAAAUAUAGGUUCUCAAGCUCUUUUUGGUGUUACAAGAUUCCAGCCCCACAAUGUUGUGUGGCACUACCCCGGAACAUGAAACAAAAGCUGGAGCUAACUGUCAGGGCUCCUCAAUCUCUAGUUGAUGUUGUUUUGCUGUUUAUACAGAACACUAGGUCUCUGGAUAAUGAGGAUGAUGGAGAGAUGAUAGCUUGAUUAUCCCGCUGCUGUGCUUUUGCUGGGAACUGAUGAAUCCUUCACACUUUUUACUAUCUCAGGCCAAUGGUGCUGGGGAGGAUGAGAAAAAAUCGUAAAGAUGACAUGUUUGCUGUCCUGUUCCCUGAUGGGGCUCCAAUGUAUUACCUGGAUCUAAUUAUCUCAUCUCCAGCUGACAGAGAGUCUUCCAUGGCAUGCUUUCCAUCACUGGGAGCCUCCGCCAAGCUUCCAGUGGGCUGUCUAAUAGCUUGAUAUAUUUUUGGACCUCCUGCUCAUUGGAUGAACAAGCUGAAGUAAAUCAUGUGUUGACCUCAAAGCAUUUAUAAACUGUAGAACAUUAUAUUCUCAUCAGAGCCAUAGGGGCAGUAAACUAUAGUUUCUCUGCUGUGAAACAUGGUUUUGGUUAUGCACUGUGUUACCAGGGUUGUACUUAAACAAUAAUAUAUCAUUUGUGGCACAUGUCGCCUUCUUUAUUGAAAGGCAAAACAAAGAGUUGAGGACAAAAAUCAUUACUACUUUAGCAAUUUUUCACAAAAUGCUUUUGUUUUGUACUUGACACACAGAUGGGACAUUGUACUGCAGUGUAAAUGAUGUAUAGCAGCAUGACAAAUUUUAUUUCCUUUGAAAAACAAGAAUAAAAAUAGUGGAUGAAUUUUGGGAAAUGGUGUUAACUUUUUGUUGUUGUUGUUAGUGUUGAAAAUAAAUUAAGUAGGGGAAUAAAUAAAAAAAAUUUAAAAAUUAAAAAAAAUAAAAGAGAUCAAUUCUAAGGGAAAAUUCUUAUUGGAAACUAUUUGAGCCCUUUAAUUGUCUUGGCAGAUAUUGAUUAAAGCGCUUAAAUGAAAAUAUUGAAAACAAUAAACUCACUUAUGUUAGAGCUUUUGAAUCACUGUGAUAGUGAUAAUCCAUGACCAAGGAAGAAAUUCACACAAGGUGUUACAUGUUACACCACAGCUGGACUAAGCAAACAAUAGAAGAUCAAUUCUGAGGAAAGUAAACUGUAUUCUCAGCACUGCUUUCAAUCACGGACUCUUUGGUGCUUCAACCAUGUUAAAAAAAUAUAAAUGCUGCUUCUCAGUCUUCUUGCUUCAAUUUAAGUCUGCAUCACUGGGGUGUAUUACUGUGUGGUAUGUCACACUGUGAAAGGUGUCUGGUUCUGGAAAAGAGUUUUGAAUUUGAUUUUGUUCAUGUGGCAUAGCUUUGCCUUUUCCUUUUAUAGUGGAUUUCAGGGAAACAUGAACAAAGUCUUUACUAUGCUUCCAAUCUGCAAAUUUUACUUAACAUUUCCUUGUUAUUAAUCUUCAGUAAGAAAACAAGAAUUGAAUGACUGUAACAUGAGAAUGUCCCAACUCAUGCACAAGCACCAGGACCCCAUAUUGUGAAGUGUUGUGCACACAUGAAACAGAGCACAGAUGAAUGAGAAAAUUUCCACUCCUUUCCCAAAACCUUGUGUGAAAGUGUUUUGUUCUCAGUCAUGUUUCAGGUGCAGCUGAAAACCAGUCCCAUGGUCCUAAAAUACAACACAAUUAUUUUUCUCUUUGGUUCAGCAGGUGCUGAGUUUUUCCAUUUUCACAAUAGCUAAAGCUAAGGAACUUUGUAGCUAUUUGGCUUUGUGACCACCAAAAUCCUCAGUCUGGACUGCCAGACUGAGACUUAAACUUUUGUCUACUGAUUGUAGACAAAAGUUUAAGGUUUUCCAUGUCUAUCAGUCUGGGGAGGCUGUCUUAAAAAGAUAAUGUCUGUCUGCAAAGUAUGGGUCUGAAUACGAGGUGUCCUUUGAAGUCUUCUUUCCUCUCUGCUACCAAAAUUUUGAAAUAUUACAAAUUUCUUUGAAGCAGGUGAGGAAAAGCUAUCCAUGCUAGAUAAGUGGAAAAAAAAAGAAAGAAAAAGGACUAGGAAAUUUUUCUAUGAGCAAUGACCUUGUGAAAUCUGUGGUUAGGUCCUGUGUGGACUCUUUCAUAGCUAACAGUGAGGUUACUGAUGGUGCCAUCUUUUCUUAGUCAAGGCAAUUUUUUGGUCUUUUUCUGAGAGAUUUGUUUUGGAAUUAACUUGCUGUAUUCAAAGUCUUAGAAACUCAGACACACACACACAAAGGAAGAAUUAUAUAUGCAUGAUUUCCCCACUCUGAAAGAAUGUAUUGUGUUUGUAUAACCAGAACCAGAGACUGUAGAGAUAUGCUUUAUCUUUUCCCCAGUGUUACUGUGUUAGAAACUAUGGGCACAAAGCUGGAAUAAAAUCAUGGUACCUGUCU
This is a long non-coding RNA of Prinia subflava (tawny-flanked prinia), 12462 nucleotides long. RefSeq lists it as uncharacterized. The transcript is spliced from 8 exons. Lineage: Eukaryota; Metazoa; Chordata; Aves; Passeriformes; Cisticolidae. The record is from RefSeq and is a predicted model, not a curated record.